Molecule: long non-coding RNA, 383 nt
Filed under: Physcomitrium patens
Lineage: Eukaryota; Viridiplantae; Streptophyta; Bryopsida; Funariales; Funariaceae
Description: long non-coding RNA (PPAT_LNC003368)
Source: RNAcentral
AGAAAACUAGAGACCCUUGAAAUUAAACUAGAAGCAAGAAAAGAGUUGACAAGAGUGAACAAGGCUUCACUCUUGCCUCUAUAUAUACUAUCUACCUAAGAGCUAUGUGGCAACGUUCUAUAAGACCUUCAAAAACGUGUUGACUUUAUACAACACGUAUCUUAAUUUGCAAGGCAAGUUUUCUAUGUGGACGCCACAUAGUUAGCUUGUUUUGCAAGCUAUCAACAUGUAUGGCACAUGGUUAACUUGUUGACCAAGUGUCACGGACACAAAAUACAGACUUGAAAUCUAACAAGAAGUUCAAGAAGAAGUGACAGAACUAGUUUAAAGAGAUGAGUACAAGAACAACACCAGAAAGGUGAGCUAGAACUCCAAGAGAUGUG